Molecule: ribosomal RNA, 301 nt
Filed under: uncultured bacterium
Lineage: Bacteria
Description: partial 16S ribosomal RNA
Rfam family: Bacterial small subunit ribosomal RNA
Source: RNAcentral
CAGCCGCCACGGUAAUACGAAGGGGGCUAGCGUUGUUCGGAUUUACUGGGCGUAAAGCGCACGUAGGCGGAUCGAUCAGUCAGGGGUGAAAUCCCAAGGCUCAACCUUGGAACUGCCUUUGAUACUGGAAGUCUUGAGUUCGGGAGAGGUGAGUGGAACUGCGAGUGUAGAGGUGAAAUUCGUAGAUAUUCGCAAGAACACCAGUGGCGAAGGCGGCUCACUGGCCCGAUACUGACGCUGAGGUGCGAAAGCGUGGGGAGCAAACAGGAUUAGAUACCCCUGUAGUCCCUGUCCUUAUACC